This 1306-nucleotide ribosomal RNA is filed under the name uncultured bacterium. RNAcentral describes it as "bacterial SSU rRNA". It matches the Rfam family "Bacterial small subunit ribosomal RNA", at positions 28 to 1381 of the family's 1533-position model. The record is from RNAcentral.
AACGUACGCUGGCGGCACGCCUAACACAUGCAAGUCGAACGAAGUAGCAAUACUUAGUGGCAGACGGGUGAGUAACAUGUAGGUAUCUGCCCUUUGGCCUGGAAUAACACGAGGAAACUUGUGCUAAUACCGGAUAAGUCUUUACGGAGAAAGCUUUAUGCACCAUUGGAUGAGCCUGCACUUGAUUAGUUUGUUGGUGGGGUAAUGGCCUACCAAGACUGUGAUCAAUAGCUGAUUUGAGAGGAUGAUCAGCCACAUUGGGACUGAGACACGGCCCAAACUCCUACGGGAGGCAGCAGUGGGGAAUCUUGCACAAUGGAGGAAACUCUGAUGCAGCGAUGCCGCGUGAGUGAAGAAGGCCCUUGGGUUGUAAAGCUCUUUCGUCGGGGAAGAAAAUGACUGUACCCGAAUAAGAAGGUCCGGCUAACUUCGUGCCAGCAGCCGCGGUAAUACGAAGGGACCUAGCGUAGUUCGGAAUUACUGGGCUUAAAGAGUUCGUAGGUGGUUGAAAAAGUUAGUGAUGAAAUCCCAGAGCUUAACUCUGGAACUGCCAUUAAAACUUUUCAGCUAGAGUAUGAUAGAGGAAAGCAGAAUUUCUAGUGUAGAGGUGAAAUUCGUAGAUAUUAGAAAGAAUACCAAUUGCGAAGGCAGCUUUCUGGAUCAUUACUGACACUGAGGAACGAAAGCAUGGGUAGCGAAGAGGAUUAGAUACCCUCGUAGUCCAUGCCGUAAACGAUGUGUGUUAGACGUUGGAAAUUUAUUUUCAGUGUCGCAGGGAAACCGAUAAACACACCGCCUGGGGAGUACGACCGCAAGGUUAAAACUCAAAUGAAUUGACGGGGACCCGCACAAGUAGUGGAGCAUGUGGUUUAAUUCGAAGAUACGCGCAGAACCUUACCAACACUUGACAUGUUCGUCGCGACUCUAAGAGAUUAGAGUUUUCGGUUCGGCCGGACGAAACACAGGUGCUGCAUGGCUGUCGUCAGCUCGUGUCGUGAGAUGUUGGGUUAAGUCCCGCAACGAGCGCAACCCUCACUUUUAGUUGCCAUCAUUAAGUUGGGCACUCUGAAAGAACUGCCAGUGAUAAGCUGGAGGAAGGUGGGGAUGACGUCAAGUCCUCAUGGCCCUUACGUGUUGGGCUACACACGUGCUACAAUGGUAUCUACAACAGGAAGCAAGACUGCGAAGUUAAGCAAAUCCCUAAAAGAUACCUCAGUUCGGAUUGCACUCUGCAACUCGAGUGCAUGAAGCUGGAAUUACUAGUAAUCGUGGAUCAGCGUGCCACGGUGAAUGCGUUCCCGGGUCU